RNAcentral lists this long non-coding RNA (222 nucleotides) under Helianthus annuus (common sunflower). RNAcentral's name for it is "sRNA HanXRQr2_Chr09g0372911". Lineage: Eukaryota; Viridiplantae; Streptophyta; Magnoliopsida; Asterales; Asteraceae. The record is from RNAcentral.
GUUUGAGGCUUUUAAGGGUUAAAUAACUUUAUAGAUUUUAACAUUUAACCCCUCUAUGUCUUUCGAUUUCAGUAGCAUCUGGUCAUUCUCAAGUGUAUGCCUGGCGAGUCUCAAUUUUUGAAACCGUAAGGUGAGUUGCCGGAGAAUACUAGGUCGAAUGAAGGUGCUUGAAUAGUCCAUCUCCAACUUUAUACGUCUUUCUUCACAUUAAAAGGUGGAUAA